GCUGGCCACAGCCUGGUGGGACAGUGCUGCUAGUGAGGCUCACAGGCUCAGGAGUGAAGCAGCCCAGAGAAGAGUAAGGACAUGACCCAGCGCUGGCUGGUCUGACAGAAGAUAACACAAAAGCCAGGUGAUCAUUGCCCCGCAUGGGAGACGCAAUAACAUGGGAAAGUGAGAGGCGGAGGAAAGCAAGGCUAGUGAAGAACCCCAGCAGCUCGACUCCUACCGGGGGGACUUUCGCUCAACAAGACAGACGAAGGACUUUUCAACCUACCCCGUGUAUUUAAAGGAAAAGUAUUCUACUGGAAGGGGAGAUUCGCCUUUAACCAGUAUCCCCAGCUGUGGCACUCUGCUAAUAUUGUAGUCUACGCUACAUGAUCACAGAAUGAGACUGCUCUGUUCUCUCGGGAAGGCUGCCGAAAGGUUGAGUAGCUCAGAUAAGGAGAGAUACCGUCGUGUUGGCAUAAAUGUGAGAAGAGGGGCUUGUUCCAGCAUCUGCCAUGGGGGUGUCCUGUUACACAACCCUUUUGGAAGAGGAUACAGUGCCGUAUAAGGAACACAACUUCACUGCAGUCAACACUAGAGCCAAGUUUGUUUGUUUUUAAACUUGACUUCUGUCCUAAGAUCCUUUUCAUGAACUUUUACCCCAAUUCACACAAUCGUCGGAGCCAGGCAGGGAAACACUUUGGUGUUGAAACACAGCCAGUCUCCUUCCCUUCAGAAGGUACCAAAAAACCAGAAGGUCAUAGGGACACUCAUUACAGGACAAAUACUCUCAUUACAGAGGAGCCUGGCAGCAAUUUCCUGGCUACUGUGAAAAUGCUGAAAGCAAGACCAGCAAAGGCGAGUCUGCUAAGUUAUUCUGCUUGACAUCUGGGCUAAAGAAUUCACCAUAUAAGUAACCUAACUGAUAAGAGAUGAGGCAAUGUAAUCCUACCAGCAUCUGGUGCAAUGAAGAAGGCUCUUUUGAAGUCACCUCCUGAAGAGGUGCGCAUAUACUAAUUCAACCUGGAUUCUCCAAGGACCACCAGACAGAGAAAGGAUUUGUGGAUAAACACCCUGAGUUUAAACUGACUCUGGGCAGCCUUUCUGAUCCAGCAAACAGACAGGACUUCUGGUCCAAGGUGGACCCAAUCCUUGCCUUCCACUCAAGAGUGCAACAUCAAAUAUAACAAUGAGAUGGCAAACCGGACUGUUUCACACUAUACAUGCUACUAGGUAUGACAAAAGUAAAACCCACAUUUUCUUGUUAUCACCAACACAGCUGAUGGAGAGAAGUCAAGGUGGAGAGAAGUCAAGGAAAGACCAGGGAGAACAGUAAAAAUGUGAAUACCACCCCCAUGAUCACAAAAUGUUGGGAGAAGAAAAAAUAGACAGCUCUUGACGCAAAAACUUUAUUAAAAGAUCCUUUAAGCAUUCAUAUUUAACCUGUUCACAUUGUACAGCUGAUUCGUUUAAAAACACGUUAAAAAACAGAACAUUCAUUUCAAAUUAAGUAGUAGAUGAAUUAUGGAUUUUGAUUACACCAAAUAUAUACAUCGGACCAUGGAGAAUCUAAGUAGUCCCAAGGCAAACUAUGUAACAAGUUUACACAAUUGUACUUUUGCAUUUAUAGAGUUAUGACAUGCGAAGUUGCCACACUCAAAGCAUAAGGUAAAGAGGAAACCUUGUAGCUGCCUAUAUGAGGCAUAGCAGCUUCAGCAGCCAGUAACACACCUGUGCAGUGGAUAUCCAGUACAUUCAGCUAGUUGGAUAAAUGACCUAUUUAUCUAACUAACGGUGACAAACAGUUUGUCAAAGAUGAAGAACUAAUCUUAGUUAUUCUGUUUUAUUGAUCUAAAUUGGUUUCUAGUUCUGUAUUAACUGGAAAAGUCAAAAGCCUUUAAUUAUAGCAUUUCCAUCUACCAAAAGACAGAGGGUGGAAUCCUGACCCUACUGAAGUGAGUGGGAGUUUUGCCAUUGACUUCAGUAGGGCUAGGAUUUCACCCGGACUUCAUUUUCCCCAAACACAUAAUAAGCAGCAACCUCAGUACUUUGUUUUCCCCACCACCAUUACUUUGACCACAAAUUUUACUCCAUGAUUAUUCACAGAUUCAUACAUUUUAAGGUCAGAAGGGAUCGUUAUGAUCAACUAGUCUGACCUGUAUUUCACAGACCAUGGAACUUCACCCAAUUUCUGCAUCAAACUCAUAACUUGUGUGAGCCAGAGCAUUAUCUUUUAGAAAGAUCUUCAGACAUGAUUUAAACACUGCAAGUGAGGGAGAAUUCACCACAUCCCUAUCUAAGAAUCAGCAUUUCAUUCUCCACUUAGUUGGAGAAGAAAGAACAGUAGCUUGCAUUACUCUUGUGACUUCACUACUCAGCUUCUCCAAAGAUCUUGCCAAGGUUCUCCAGCAAAGAGAGAAGAGUGAGGCAAACGGAACUGUCCUGAUCUUCGUAGUAAAAAUAAAUUGCUAUGUGUAUGAUUUUUAAAAUACUGAAACAGUCUUUCUGCAUCCUAAGGGCUAGAUUGUGAUACACUUAGUGACAAUGAGUAGCACCUUACUCCACUGAAAUUGCUUUCUGCCCUAUUUAAAAUGCAUACUUGCAUCAAAAUUGGGCCCAGAAAACCAGUGAAGAGCAAAACAAUCCUUUGCUUUGCAGUUCACCUCUAAGAUACAGUUUAGUUUGUAAUACAAAAGCAACCUCCUGUCCAUUGAUAGAAUAGAUGCAUAUGAGGUAAAAACCCAGCGAUUCCAUUUAAUUCAGUUCACAAAACGUUUGGGUAUAUAUAGUUAGUCCUGCACUAAAAGCCUCUUACAAUAGGCAACUGCUGUCAUAAAAGGCCACUGUAACUACAGUGGCACAGAUUUUCAGAUCAAUUUUGUUCCUACAUUUUAGAAGAUCCCUUCUAUUAGGCCACAGAUUUUUGCUGGUCCCUUGGGGCUUAAGACCAGUUUCUCUGUGUACAUGUUAGGAGCUGCCAGAGACAGCAGGAGGCUGACAGACUAGAAUGUAUUGUUUUAAAACGCGUUUUGGACGUAGAGAAACACCUGAGUCUGACUUGGACACCUUGAUAUUCCACAUAAGCAGAUAGCUGGCUAAAAGCUAGAAGGAGACUGUUAAUUUGAUCCCUAUACACUAUCAGAAUGCACCUCUUCCUUCCCUCUGACAGGCUCUAAGCCACCAAAUUCACCUU
Non-coding RNA from Chrysemys picta bellii (western painted turtle), 3175 nucleotides. The record is from RefSeq and is a predicted model, not a curated record. Lineage: Eukaryota; Metazoa; Chordata; Testudines; Emydidae.